UGAGAAUCUGCCUUAAGGAUUGGGACAACAGUGGGAAACCGCUGCUAAUACCAAAUAUGCCUUUUAGUGAAACGGGUAAAACCGCCUUAAGAUGAGCUCGCGUCUGAUUAGCUAGUAGGUGUGGUAAGAGCGCACCUAGGCGACGAUCAGUAGCUGGUCUGAGAGGACGACCAGCCACACUGGGACUGAGACACGGCCCAGACUCCUACGGGAGGCAGCAGUGAGGAAUUUUCCGCAAUGGGCGAAAGCCUGACGGAGCAAUACCGCGUGAGGGAGGAAGGUUCUUGGAUUGUAAACCUCUUUUCUCAGAGAAGAAUAAUGACGGUAUCUGAGGAAUAAGCAUCAGCUAACUCCGUGCCAGCAGCCGCGGUAAUACGGAGGAUGCAAGCGUUAUCCGGAAUGAUUGGGCGUAAAGGGUCUGUAGGUGGUUGUUCAAGUCUGCUGUUAAAGCGUCUGGCUUAACCAGAUAAAGGCGGUGGAAACUGAACGACUAGAGUGCGGUAGGGGUAGAGGGAAUUCCCAGUGUAGCGGUGAAAUGCGUAGAUAUUGGGAAGAACACCUGUGGCGAAAGCGCUCUACUGGACCGCGACUGACACUGAUGGACGAAAGCUAGGGGAGCGAAUGGGAUUAGAUACCCCAGUAGUCCUAGCCGUAAACGAUGGAUACUAG
Molecule: ribosomal RNA, 669 nt
Filed under: uncultured cyanobacterium
Lineage: Bacteria; Bacillati; Cyanobacteriota
Description: bacterial SSU rRNA
Rfam family: Bacterial small subunit ribosomal RNA
Source: RNAcentral